CCUACGGGAGGCAGUAGUGAGGAAUAUUGGUCAAUGGGCGGAAGCCUGAACCAGCCAAGUAGCGUGCAGGAUGACGGCCCUACGGGUUGUAAACUGCUUUUAUACGGGAAUAACGCGCCUUACGUGUAGGUCUUUGCAUGUACCGUACGAAUAAGGACCGGCUAACUCCGUGCCAGCAGCCGCGGUAAUACGGAGGAUCCGAGCGUUAUCCGGAUUUAUUGGGGUUAAAGGGAGCGUAGGUGGAUUGUUAAGUCAGUUGUGAAAGUCUGCGGCUCAACCGUAAAAUUGCAGUUGAAACUGGUAGUCUUGAGUACAGUAGAGGUGGGCGGAAUUCGUGGUGUAGCGGUGAAAUGCUUAGAUAUCACGAAGAACUCCGAUUGCGAAGGCAGCUCACUGGACUGCAACUGACACUGAGGCUCGAAAGUGUGGGGAUCAAACAGGAUUAGAUACCCGAGUAGUC
This 460-nucleotide ribosomal RNA is filed under the name uncultured bacterium. Its description in RNAcentral is "partial 16S ribosomal RNA". It matches the Rfam family "Bacterial small subunit ribosomal RNA", at positions 338 to 795 of the family's 1533-position model. The record is from RNAcentral.